GACGAACGCUGGCGGCGUGCUUAACACAUGCAAGUCUACGAGAACGAGGUAGCAAUAUCUCUAUUAAAGUGGCGCACGGGUGCGUAACACGUAAGCAAUCUACCUUUGGGUCUGGAAUAACUUCGAGAAAUCGAGGCUAAUACCGGAUAAUGCAGCGGCACCGCAUGGUGAUGUUGUUAAAGUUUAAGUAAUGCCUUUAGAUGAGCUUGCGUCUGAUUAGCUAGUUGGUAGGGUAAAGGCCUACCAAGGCAACGAUCAGUAGCUGGUCUGAGAGGAUGAUCAGCCACACUGGAACUGAGACACGGUCCAGACUCCUACGGGAGGCAGCAGUGAGGAAUAUUGGGCAAUGGGCGAAAGCCUGACCCAGCAACGCCGCGUGGAGGAUGAAGGCCGUAAGGUUGUAAACUCCUGUUAGAGGAGAAGAACAGUACCGAUUGGAUCGGUAUUUGACU
Molecule: ribosomal RNA, 452 nt
Filed under: uncultured Ignavibacterium sp.
Lineage: Bacteria; Pseudomonadati; Ignavibacteriota; Ignavibacteria; Ignavibacteriales; Ignavibacteriaceae
Description: bacterial SSU rRNA
Rfam family: Bacterial small subunit ribosomal RNA
Source: RNAcentral